AAGUCGGAACAAGGUUUCCGUAGGUGAACCUGCGGAAGGAUCAUUAACACGUAUCCAACGUUAAAAACUCCGUGCAUAUUAACCCUGCUCUCUUCGGCCUUGAUAAGCAAUCUUUGGUAAAUCACACAGAACAGUUUGAUUCAGCGGUAGAGCAAAUAGACUUGGUUUCCGAAAGGAUAACUGAUACUUACUCAGAUCGUUGCCCUCGGUCAACGGACAAGUCUCUGGGGCUUCGGCUCCCUUCUAUUUAACCCCUGUAUGUGAAAGUCGGCUUGCAAACUACAGGCCCACAAAACGAACAACUGUUAACAUGGAUAUCUUGGUUCUC
RNAcentral lists this unclassified non-coding RNA (328 nucleotides) under fungal sp. Its description in RNAcentral is "partial internal transcribed spacer region". The stretch from base 1 to 46 matches the Rfam family "Eukaryotic small subunit ribosomal RNA", at positions 1786 to 1831 of the family's 1831-position model. The record is from RNAcentral. Lineage: Eukaryota; Fungi.